RNAcentral lists this ribosomal RNA (496 nucleotides) under uncultured bacterium. RNAcentral describes it as "bacterial SSU rRNA". It matches the Rfam family "Bacterial small subunit ribosomal RNA", at positions 28 to 524 of the family's 1533-position model. The record is from RNAcentral.
GAUGAACGCUAGCGGCAGGCCUAAUACAUGCAAGUCGAACGCUCAGUAGCAAUACUGGGAGUGGCGCACGGGUGCGUAACGCGUACACAAUCUACCUCUAAGCGGGGGACACCUCCUGGAAACGGGGAUUAAUACCGCAUAAUAUGCCGAAGUCGCAUGACUUUGGUAUUAAAGCAGCAAUGCACUUAGAGAUGAGUGUGCGUCCCAUUAGGUAGUUGGUGAGGUAACGGCUCACCAAGCCUAUGAUGGGUAGCCGGUCUGAGAGGAUGGUCGGCCACACGGGCACUGAGACACGGGGCCCGACUCCUACGGGAGGCAGCAGUAAGGAAUAUUGGUCAAUGGUGGAAACACUGAACCAGCCAUGCCGCGUGGAGGAAUAAGGUCCUACGGAUUGUAAACUCCUUUUGACGAGGAAGAAAAUAGUUAGAUUUAUCUAAUUUUAGACGGUACUCGUAGAAUAAGCACCGGCUAACUCCGUGCCAGCAGCCGCAGUAAU